RNAcentral lists this long non-coding RNA (1613 nucleotides) under Cucumis sativus (cucumber). RNAcentral's name for it is "long non-coding RNA (CSAT_LNC001396)". The record is from RNAcentral. Lineage: Eukaryota; Viridiplantae; Streptophyta; Magnoliopsida; Cucurbitales; Cucurbitaceae.
CUACAGACUCCAAUCCUUCAGUCGUUAACAACGAACAUCCUUCAAGCAAAAGUAACUUCACCCUCCUGUGCAAUGAGAAAGAAAACACAAAUCAGGUAUCUGCUUUGAUCAAAAUGUUUGAUUUCAAUUGAAGUACUAGAGUCAUCAUUCAUCAGGAUAUAUUUACUUCAAGAAAUUUUUAGCACAUUCUUGGCACGUUCAGCUUUAAGCGCUGUAAAUGUGGUCUGGUGGGACAAAAGUCACUUUUCCAGUUUAAUCAAAGAGAAGCCACUUGAGUGGCAAACCAAAACUAGGUCCACUAGGUUAUAAUGUCCUCCUUGUGAGCAUCGGUCACUAAGCCUUUUUGUAACCGUGAUCUAGCUUUAACUAUUUUGUUGGGUUUAUUUAUUAAGAAACAGAAGGAAAGAAUACAAGGGCAUACACAAAAAAGUAAAAACAACCGCUUUUUGUUGAGUUGGAAUUUGUUUUUUAGUUUUCUAGAGUUUCCCUUUUAUUUUGUUGGAAUGGUUCUUUUAUGUCUGUACAUUCUUUCAUUUCUAUCCAUGAAAGCCCGAUUUCUUACCCAAAAAUAAUAACAAUAAUAAUAAUCAUCGAUGUUGACCAUUUUCAGAAAACAAAUAUUUCAAUUGCGCAAGAUAUAAAUUCUACACUUGUGCUGUAAUACUUCACCAUGUUCAUUUGGUGUUGAAAUUGUCAGAAAUUAUGUCUAGCCAAAGUCCAAACAAACAAAAAAUAAUAUCAUUCUCUUCUUAUGGACCCAAGAGUUCAAAACUCGACAGAAAAUACACCAUGAUAAAUAAAUGACAAAAACAAGUAGCCAUAUAUUGGAAUGAGAUAGUCACAUAACACCACCCAUUCAACAACAAAAAUUAUUGCUCAUCCUAAUUCAUGAAAUCAGAUUUGAUCAGUUUUAGAACCAUCUAUCUGUAAGAGGUUCCUAUGUCCCCUCAAAGCAUAUCAAUUAUUGGCCUCUCAAAUGAUUUUGUGCCCUGUUCGUUUAGAAAUGCACUGAAAAUGGCCUAGAUGGGCUAUAAAAUUAAACUUCAAUGAAAGAAACACCCAAAAAAAUGAUAACAAGAAAGCAUAUCGAGAACAGUGACAAAAUAAACAGAGCAACAACUAGCAACCUCUUUCCUAGAAUGCAGCAUACACCAAUAAUAAAUAGUUGUACAACGUAUAGAACAGAUCCUGUUCAAGUAAAGCAACUACACUGAUAACAAAAUUGAUGGCUCGAGUUCUUAUUAGCCCUUCAUAUCAAUUGUACGAUGAAUGUCAUCCCACAAUACAACAUCUACUAUUUACUUCAAUUGGUCAGCAGUAUUUACAGUUAAACUAAAUGCUCAAAGACAUAAAGAUCCCUUACCAGCAGUUAUUUGCAAAGCUGAACAUGUCAUCAUCCAAUCCCCAGCAGUCCCGGAUCAAAAUCUCCCUUGCAGCCCCACAUGUCAUAAAUAAAGCCCUUACACUUACUUUAUCACGCAAUUGAGAAUUUUGUAAAUGCAGCCGCUCAAGAGCAGGACAGGAGCUCAAAUACUCAUCCGGACCAGGAUUUGCAUCAAUUCUCUGACACGACAUGAUCUUCAAAGUCUUCAGAUUCUCGCAAUAUGGAAGAC